GAGUAACCCAUGUUCUGGGUUAACGCCCCUUCCCCCCGCCCCCUGCUGUUGUUCUGGAAUUUUCUCACAACAGUCGUUUGAAACAACCGUCACUUGAACUUGAACGCACUCGAUCCGUUUUGGUCUGGGCUUCUUCGGUGCAACUUCGUCGCGUAUUCAAGGUCUUUUUAAAUGGACAGCUUUGUCGCUGAUAAGCUAACUGAGUGGCGGAUGUCUGAGCUGAUUUUAGAGGUGAAGACAGAGAUGAGGAGGCAUUUCUUCUCUUAGAUGAGGACACUAUCAAAACUCUUGUCCCUCAAGUUCAAUCCAGUUAUUGAAUGUUGUCAAAUGUUUGAGAGAGAAUGAGUUGUUUUUCUAUUUUUUCUAAUGUCUAAUGUUAUUACAGUGUGACCUAAGAUAAAUAGGUCUAAGUGUGUAGAGUUUAUGUAAAGUUUAAUUUAAUUUAAUGCAAUAAAAAAUGUAAAAGUG
Megalobrama amblycephala (Wuchang bream) is the source of this 468-nucleotide long non-coding RNA. RefSeq lists it as uncharacterized. Lineage: Eukaryota; Metazoa; Chordata; Actinopteri; Cypriniformes; Xenocyprididae. The transcript has 3 exons. The record is from RefSeq and is a predicted model, not a curated record.